GAUGAACGCUAGCUACAGGCUUAACACAUGCAAGUCGAGGGGCAGCACUAGGUAGCAAUACUGAGGUGGCGACCGGCGCACGGGUGCGUAACGCGUAUCCAACCUUCCCGAUACUCUUGGAUAGCCUUCCGAAAGGGAGAUUAAUACAAGAUGGUGUUUCACUUUCGCAUGUUAUUGAAACUAAAGAUUUAUCGGUAUCGGAUGGGGAUGCGUGACAUUAGAUAGUAGGCGGGGUAACGGCCCACCUAGUCUACGAUGUCUAGGGGUUCUGAGAGGAAGGUCCCCCACACUGGAACUGAGACACGGUCCAGACUCCUACGGGAGGCAGCAGUGAGGAAUAUUGGUCAAUGGGCGCGAGCCUGAACCAGCCAAGUAGCGUGAAGGAUGACUGCCCUACGGGUUGUAAACUUCUUUUGUUUGGGAAUAAAACACCUUACGUGUAGGGUCUUGUAUGUACCGUAUGAAUAAGCAUCGGCUAACUCCGUGCCAGCAGCCGCGGUAAAAGU
Molecule: ribosomal RNA, 506 nt
Filed under: uncultured bacterium
Lineage: Bacteria
Description: bacterial SSU rRNA
Rfam family: Bacterial small subunit ribosomal RNA
Source: RNAcentral